RNAcentral lists this ribosomal RNA (253 nucleotides) under uncultured bacterium. Its description in RNAcentral is "partial 16S ribosomal RNA". It matches the Rfam family "Bacterial small subunit ribosomal RNA", at positions 524 to 776 of the family's 1533-position model. The record is from RNAcentral.
UACGGAAGGUGCAAGCGUUGUUCGGAAUUACUGGGCGUAAAGCGCACGUAGGCGGGUUUGUAAGUCGAUUGUGAAAGCCCCGGGCUUAACCUGGGAAUGGCAGUCGAAACUGCAGAUCUUGAAUACCUGAGAGGAUGGGGGAAUUCCUGGUGGAGAAGUGAAAUUCGUAGAUAUCAGGAGGAACACCGGAGGCGAAGGCGCCUGUCUGGCAGUGUAUUGACGCUGAGGUGCGAAAGCGCGGGGAGCAAACAGG